RNAcentral lists this ribosomal RNA (230 nucleotides) under uncultured bacterium. Its description in RNAcentral is "partial 16S ribosomal RNA". It matches the Rfam family "Bacterial small subunit ribosomal RNA", at positions 118 to 348 of the family's 1533-position model. The record is from RNAcentral.
UGAGUAACCUGCCCUUAACUCUGGGAUAAGCCUGGGAAACUGGGUCUAAUACCGGAUAUGACUCCUCAUCGCAUGGUGGGGGGUGGAAAGCUUUUUGUGGUUUUGGAUGGACUCGCGGCCUAUCAGCUAGUUGGUGGGUAAUGGCCCACCAAGGCUACGAUCAGUAGCUGGUCUGAGAGGAUGAUCAGCCACAUUGGGACUGAGACACGGCCCAAACUCCGUACGGGAGG